This 843-nucleotide ribosomal RNA is filed under the name Triticum aestivum (bread wheat). RNAcentral's name for it is "partial small subunit ribosomal RNA". Lineage: Eukaryota; Viridiplantae; Streptophyta; Magnoliopsida; Poales; Poaceae. The record is from RNAcentral.
AUGUACCACCACCCUGCGGCGGCGUACUACGCGCACGCGCACGCCUCCAUGGUCGCGGGGGUGCCUUACAUGGCCGGCGAGUCUGUCUCGGCGGCAGGGAAAGGGAAGAGGGUGGGGAAGACACGAUGUGUCCCUUCUGGCGAGAUCAAUUUCAGCUCCGGGAGCGGCGAUGCCGGGAGCCAGGGGUCAUUGGAGAAGGGAGAUACGGGCGCCAAUCAGAAGGGCUCAUCAUCAUCCGCGAAGAGGAGGAAGUCCGGCGCUGCAAAUACAGAAGAUGGGUUAUCAGUUAUCACAAACCAUAAUUCCUGGAUACAAGGUGAAUCUCAGGCUGCCACAGUGCAGAAUGCUGUAACCGAGCCGCCAUUGGAAGACAAGGAGAGGUCUACAUCCAAACUGUUGGUUUUGGCACCUGGGAGGGCGGCACUCACCAGUGCUGCACCGAACUUGAAUAUUGGGAUGGAUCCCUUGAGCGCUUCUCCAUCCUCCAUAGUACAGGGGGAGGUGAAUGCCGCAGCUUCUUCCCAGAGUAACGCUUCACUGUCUCAGAUGCAAGAAUGCGAAGAGCUAGCCCAGAAGGUAAGUGAGCUGACCGCAGCGAACGGCACGCUUAGAUCAGAACUCGGCCAGCUUAAGGACUGCAAAACCAUGGAAACAGAAAAUAAACAGCUGAUGCAGUCAGAGGGCCCUAGCGUUGUGACUACCCUGAGCAUCCAGGUCGAAGCGCCCGAGCCGCAUCCAGAUCGAAGCCCGAGACUCCCUGUAGUAGAGCACCUGCUGCCUCAAACUUCAGAGAAGAUGUGCACGAAUGGCUGUUUGGUCGCAGGUUACUCCAAGAAGAAGUAG